GGCCUCUCUCCCUUGGAGGUGGGGGGGGGUCCAUUUUCCAUUUUCUCCUCAGCCAAGGAUGGCAGCCAAGAUCAUGGCCAGGACUGCCAUGAGCUUGGCAGCCUUGUUUUCCUGCCUCAGACAUUU
Molecule: small nucleolar RNA, 126 nt
Filed under: Microcebus murinus (gray mouse lemur)
Lineage: Eukaryota; Metazoa; Chordata; Mammalia; Primates; Cheirogaleidae
Source: RNAcentral